RNAcentral lists this ribosomal RNA (464 nucleotides) under Vreelandella stevensii. RNAcentral's name for it is "partial 16S ribosomal RNA". It matches the Rfam family "Bacterial small subunit ribosomal RNA", at positions 338 to 795 of the family's 1533-position model. The record is from RNAcentral. Lineage: Bacteria; Pseudomonadati; Pseudomonadota; Gammaproteobacteria; Oceanospirillales; Halomonadaceae.
CCUACGGGGGCUGCAGUGGGGAAUAUUGGACAAUGGGCGAAAGCCUGAUCCAGCCAUGCCGCGUGUGUGAAGAAGGCCUUCCGGUUGUAAAGCACUUUCAGUGGGGAAGAAAGCCUUGGGGCUAAUACCCUCGAGGAAGGACAUCACCCACAGAAGAAGCACCGGCUAACUCCGUGCCAGCAGCCGCGGUAAUACGGAGGGUGCGAGCGUUAAUCGGAAUUACUGGGCGUAAAGCGCGCGUAGGCGGUCUGAUAAGCCGGUUGUGAAAGCCCCGGGCUCAACCUGGGAACGGCAUCCGGAACUGUCAGGCUAGAGUGCAGGAGAGGAAGGUAGAAUUCCCGGUGUAGCGGUGAAAUGCGUAGAGAUCGGGAGGAAUACCAGUGGCGAAGGCGGCCUUCUGGACUGACACUGACGCUGAGGUGCGAAAGCGUGGGUAGCAAACAGGAUUAGAUACCCCAGUAGUC